UGGGGAAUUUUUCGCAAUGGGCGCAAGCCUGACGAAGCAACGCCGCGUGGAGGAUGACGGCCCUAGCGGUCUUAAACUCCUGUCUAGCGGGACGAAAGUCAUCAGGGCAAAUAGCCCUGGUGAUUGACUGUACCGCUGGAGGAAGCUCCGGCCAACUCCGUGCCAGCAGCCGCGGUAAUACGGAGGGAGCAAGCGUUACUCGGAAUUAUUGGGCGUAAAGGGCGCGUAGGCGAUUGGGCAAGUCUCUUGUGAAAGCCCAGGGCUUAACUCUGGAAGUGCAGGAGAUACUGCUUAAUUUGAGUUCAGGAGAGGAAGGCAGAAUUCCCGGUGUAGCGGUGAAAUGCGUAGAUAUCGGGAGGAAUACCAGUGGCGAAGGCGGCCUUCUGGACUGACACUGACGCUGAGGCGCGAAAGCUAGGGGAGCAAACGGGAUUAGAUACCCCGGUAGUCCUAGCCGUAAACGAUGUCGACUUGGUGUGAGCCGGUUUUCGGUUCGUGCCGUAGUUAACGCGAUAAGUCGACCGCCUGGGGAGUACGGUCGCAAGGCUGA
RNAcentral lists this ribosomal RNA (550 nucleotides) under uncultured Acidobacteriota bacterium. RNAcentral describes it as "bacterial SSU rRNA". It matches the Rfam family "Bacterial small subunit ribosomal RNA", at positions 355 to 897 of the family's 1533-position model. The record is from RNAcentral. Lineage: Bacteria; Pseudomonadati; Acidobacteriota.